GCGAAGCGUGGGGAGCAAACAGGAUUAGAUACCUGGUAGUCACGCUGUAAACGAUGUCGAUUUGGAGGUUGUUCCCUUGAGGAGUGGCUUCCGGAGCUAACGCGUUAAAUCGACCGCCUGGGGAGUACGGCCGCAAGGUUAAAACUCAAAUGAAUUGACGGGGGCCCGCACAAGCGGUGGAGCAUGUGGUUUAAUUCGAUGCAACGCGAAGAACCUUACCUACUCUUGACAUCCAGAGAAUUUAGCAGAGAUGCUUUAGUGCCUUCGGGAACUCUGAGACAGGUGCUGCAUGGCUGUCGUCAGCUCGUGUUGUGAAAUGUUGGGUUAAGUCCCGCAACGAGCGCAACCCUUAUCCUUUGUUGCCAGCACAUUAUGGUGGGAACUCAAAGGAGACUGCCGGUGAUAAACCGGAGGAAGGUGGGGAUGACGUCAAGUCAUCAUGGCCCUUACGAGUAGGGCUACACACGUGCUACAAUGGCGUAUACAAAGAGAAGCGACCUCGCGAGAGCAAGCGGAACUCAUAAAGUACGUCGUAGUCCGGAUUGGAGUCUGCAACUCGACUCCAUGAAGUCGGAAUCGCUAGUAAUCGUAGAUCAGAAUGCUACGGUGAAUACGUUCCCGGGCCUUGUACACACCGCCCGUCACACCAUGGGAGUGGGUUGCAAAAGAAGUAGGUAGCUUAACCUUCGGGAGGGCGCUUACCACUUUGUGAUUCAUGACUGGGGUGAAGUCGUAACAAGGUAACCA
Molecule: ribosomal RNA, 747 nt
Filed under: uncultured Providencia sp.
Lineage: Bacteria; Pseudomonadati; Pseudomonadota; Gammaproteobacteria; Enterobacterales; Morganellaceae
Description: bacterial SSU rRNA
Rfam family: Bacterial small subunit ribosomal RNA
Source: RNAcentral